AAACCAUGAUGGGGGCAAAGCCUAAGCAUUUCUUUGAAACGCUCCCACGCAUCGUAAAGAGAUUCACCAUCUUUUUGAGUGUAUUGAAAAAGCCUCGCCCUUAAUUGAGUGG
Molecule: small nucleolar RNA, 112 nt
Organism: Medicago truncatula (barrel medic)
Lineage: Eukaryota; Viridiplantae; Streptophyta; Magnoliopsida; Fabales; Fabaceae
Rfam family: Plant small nucleolar RNA R71
About the family: R71 is a member of the C/D box family of snoRNAs containing the C (UGAUGA) and D (CUGA) box motifs. Multiple nearly identical copies of this snoRNA have been identified in Arabidopsis, and it is thought to function as a 2'-O-ribose methylation guide for 18S ribosomal RNA.
Source: Rfam